Molecule: ribosomal RNA, 253 nt
Filed under: uncultured bacterium
Lineage: Bacteria
Description: partial 16S ribosomal RNA
Rfam family: Bacterial small subunit ribosomal RNA
Source: RNAcentral
UACGGGGGGGGCAAGCGUUGUUCGGAUUCAUUGGGCGUAAAGGGUGUGUAGGUGGCGCGCUAAGUCGGGUGUGAAAUUUCGGAGCUUAACUCCGAAACUGCAUUCGAUACUGGCGUGCUUGAGGACUGGAGAGGAGACUGGAAUUCAUGGUGUAGCAGUGAAAUGCGUAGAGAUCAUGAGGAAGACCAGUGGCGAAGGCGGGUCUCUGGACAGUUCCUGACGCUGAGGCACGAAGGCCAGGGGAGCAAACGGG